This 3287-nucleotide long non-coding RNA is filed under the name Sorghum bicolor (sorghum). Its description in RNAcentral is "long non-coding RNA (SBIC_LNC005154)". Lineage: Eukaryota; Viridiplantae; Streptophyta; Magnoliopsida; Poales; Poaceae. The record is from RNAcentral.
CGUCAACGAGCUUACCUCUUGCUCGUCCCUGAGCAAGGAUGGAUUCAAGAGUUUCUGAAGUGGUUUCAUGCCUUAAAGGUACACAUGCGUUCAAACAAGAUCUCAUCUCCGGGUUAGGGUAAACUGUUAUGACUUAAAACUUACUCAUUUAUCUUUCACCAUGGGGCUUGCAACCGUCACUUAUGUCCUGAGUAGUUAAAAGAUAGAAUGGUCAAGUCAAGAGCCAUGUCUUUGUUUUUGAUCAACUAUAGCUCUGGAGUUUUUGUAGAUUUUCAAAAUAAAACUAAGAGAUUCCUAUAUGAGUCUCUCUAGUCUCUCUUUUGUGGUAUUUCUGGAUCCUUACCAAGGCAGUGAUGGUAUAUGCCUUCUCUCAAAACAUGUGGUAUUUUUGGUACGAGGCAUAGUGACAUUGCCUUCUCUCUCACCCUACUCUAAUAACGUUUUGAUAUCUGGAGCUCAUAGGUGGGAGACAGCUAAUACAUACUUAGAAGUCAUUUAUUGCAUAGUCAAACCAUGGAUCCAGAGAAACAAGUCAAUAAGUCAAUAUCAAGAUGUGCAUGUGUGGCGAAUGAAUGGUGUAUGGUGAUGAUGGUUAAAACAAUGGUGAAAGUCUAAUUCUACUUUUGCUCUUUUGAGGGGAUACAUACCUUUCUUGUAUUUUGAAGCUUUUUGAGGGGAAUGAGAUGCUCUAAAUUUUCUUUUUCUUUUCUCUCAGGUGGGUAUAUUGUACCCCUAAUUCUACUGUUGGACACUUGUCCAUUUUUACCUCUCGUCUCACUUUUUCUUUUCUUCGAGGUUCUGGGCACUUGCCCCUUUUUAUUUCCUAGUAUUCACUUUUUUUUAGAGCACUCACCCUCCUGGAAUAAUGUGGCAAGUGGUAGUAACCAAAAUAUCUCGAGCAUUUAUUUCAUGGGGAAUAACAGGGAUAGGAUAAUGUUUUUGGCUAUUCUCUCCCGGAUAGGAGUAGAAUAAUUUUGGGUGAAUCUGGAGAUGGAAAUGAGUGGUUGUAUGUGGAUGCGUACUUUCGGAGUAGAAGCAGCAUGUAUGAGUGAACGUGCAAGUGAAUCUUGAUUUUAACCGCAUGACAAGCUCCUAAGGGUCCACACAGCUUGACCACACUCAAUGCUCAUAAGUAGUAAAAAGUAAAUUUAUGGUUCAUAGUCUAAUAAGCAUGUAUAUAUGGCUGUGGUAGGAUUUUAAACUCUCAUCAUACAGGAACUCAUCAUGCAACAUUUAAAAGAUUUUCAAAGAUAAAAUUCUCUAGAAUUCUAGCAUCUCUAGGAACAGAUAAACAGCAGCUCUACCUUCCCAUAUCAUAUCCGUUAAUGACUUAGACUUUAGAUCAAGUACUCUUCCCACAAGUUCUGGUUUAGAGCAAAUCUUAAUUCAUAACAAUCAUGCCUAAACUUGAGAGAGAAUUCAAUUUUGAGAACUAGUCAUGGCAGAGCAACUAUUCAUCAUUUCCAUGUGAGAGCUUAUCAUGAGGGUUCAUAGCAAACUUUAUUUAUUUAUUUAUUUAGCAAACUAAGCAAAGAUAUAUAUAUAAGCACAAAAUCCUUAUUUUUGGGUUUUAUGAUUAUGCAUCUUUUUAUUAUUUGAGUAAAGUAUAAACAUGAGUAAAAACACUUAGCUAGAUAAAUGGGGGUGCUCUCCCCCAAGCUGGAUUAUGACGUAAUUUCUUCUGAUGAAGCUAGCAGGUGGUGGAGGUAUAUUUGAAUGUCGGCAGCACCUUGACAGCAAUUAGGGUGUCCUCCGUCUGCUAGUCUUCUUUGAUCGUUGAAUUCUGUGGAGCUCAAAUAGACAACAAAGCUUUGUGGAACUGGUUAUGUGUUAGCAUAAAUAUCUAGCCUUUAUCAUGUUGAGCCUCCUCUAAUAAAUAUUACUCUCUUUGGUAGGAUCAUAAAUUUAUUUUUAUAUUUUCAUUUUUAUAGGACAGGAAUAUUUUUAUUUUAUUUUUACGCCACCACAGUGAAUGUAGUUAUGGGUUUUAUGCCACGAGCAUACUCACAUGGGGCUUACUAUUUUUAACAUUUUUAUUUUCUUUUCAAGAUAGCAUGAUUAACUAACAAGCCAUUUAAGGAAAGUAAAUAAUUAAAGGGAAAAGGGAAUGUAGAAAAGAUAAAUAUGGAUAACUAACGAUUUUACCUUUCGGCGAGGGUUCAAUGUUUUAUGUCUUCUGAACAAGACUUCUCACCGUGUUCAUUCUUUAGGUGCAUCAUUUGAUUCAAGUGCGGACCUUGAUGUCUGCACCUCUUGAUACGGUGUCACCCAUGUUCUUCGUUUGCCCAGCAGUUCGAAGUGCGGAGUUGGGAGCAUCCUGCUCAGUGUGUUUGUGCUUGUAGAUCCAGGUCCUUCACUUGAUUGAAUCUGGGAGUUGUAAAACUCCACCAUGUUUUUCUCCAAGUGUACCUACUCAUAGAGAUAAGACAGAGAUCAAGUGCAUGGGCCCUGUUGGUGGAAAACACCAACAGAACCAAAAGUGUAUUUGUUCUUCACUAACCUUAAGCAUGGUGAGCAAGACAAAUUUGAUGGAUAAUAAGAUCAUGAGUGUAGUAUUUAAAACAUUUGUCAGAUCAUAUCGCUCAACCUUAUGGAAAGAUAAUCUAUCUAUGUAUAUGUCUUUUUCUUUAUAUCUUCCCAAAGAUUGAAUGUGCAACAUUUUAGCUCAUAUGAUUAGGAGUGUGGGAUCAUGGAGGUAGUACUAGGAACAAAGAUUAAAGGACUAAACAUGCUGAAUCAAUUGGGUUGGUUAAUCUAGAAUUGUAAAUCAUACAUGUUUUAUCUCUUUUAUUCAUGUGAACGCCAGGACCAAGGAGAAGCUCAUAAAAGUGAUAGUCACAUAUCUUAAGAUGUUACCUUCAUUGAAGAGUGAUGGUACCAUCUCACCUUGUGGAAGCUUCCCAUUCGUAGUGGCGGUGUAUCUUGUUUAUGUACUUUGUCUCCUUCCAUGUAUCAUCUCUCUAUGAUGAAUGAGCUAUGUCCUUCUUGUGCAAAUUGUUAAACUUCAUGUGUCUCUCUCUUCAUCUCUCUUGUGAGUUUAUCUCAGGACUUCCCAAAUCGAUAUUGAAAAUUUUUCUGCAGGGGUUAGUCCGACAAAAUAUACCAAUGUCUACACAAGCAGUUUUUAGUUCAAUAACCGAACUAGACUCUAUGUCUAAUCAGAUUAAGGAAGGCUAUUUAAUCUAAGCACCGUGCUUAAUUUAAAAGCCAACAGAAGUAUGUGCAGUACUUCCAAACUAACACUUAGUAGGAUAAACAAAGGUAGCGUGAUGGCAUUAUAGAGAUCU